This 607-nucleotide unclassified non-coding RNA is filed under the name Hevea brasiliensis (rubber tree). Lineage: Eukaryota; Viridiplantae; Streptophyta; Magnoliopsida; Malpighiales; Euphorbiaceae. The record is from RNAcentral.
AUCUAAAACUGGAAUAAAGCAUAAUUCAUAACAAAGUUGAGAUGAUAUGAUGAAACAAAGCAUGUCAAUUUUUAACCAUCAAAGUUGGAGAAUGGUAGUUUACCAAGUCUGGCAAGGAAAUCGAAAUGGAUGAAAAAACCAGUAAAAACUAUGAAGGGAGAUUAGAAGAAAGUUUGAGGCAUUCACUUUGACAUCUCCUGAGGCAGACAUCAUUCCAGUUUGGCACUUGAUGCUGGUUGACACAGACAGUACGAGCGCAGGCAUCAGAGCAAGCAUCAAGUUCGGAUACGCCACAAACAGUAAUACAAGUAUCGGGAAUUGGAUCCUUGGAAAAUGCACCAACCUUCUUCAACAUUCUCUUUGACGUACAGACUCUCUCGCACACGAAAAUAUCAUCAGUGCUCUUCUCCCUGCCCCGUGCACUCUUGAUUCUCUGCUCCUCAGCAUGAUUUCUCUUAAUUCUGUAAGCUUGACCAGCUACAAUAGCAGGAAUAGCAGCCCCUAACAAGGACCACCAUACCUCAACCAUUAGGGCUACAGCUGUGGAAUUGUUUGUUUUCUUCCUCCCUUCAAAAAAUAAAAAUGGAGGAAGCAAGUUGAAUGAAGU